This 492-nucleotide ribosomal RNA is filed under the name uncultured bacterium. RNAcentral describes it as "partial 16S ribosomal RNA". It matches the Rfam family "Bacterial small subunit ribosomal RNA", at positions 29 to 507 of the family's 1533-position model. The record is from RNAcentral.
AGUGAACGCUGGCGGUAGGCCUAACACAUGCAAGUCGAACGGCAGCACAGUAAGAGCUUGCUAUUACGGGUGGAGAGUUGAGGACGGGUGCGGAAUACAUCGGAAUCUACUUUUUCGUGGGGGGUAACGUAGGGUAACUUACGCUAAUACCUCAUACGAACUACGGGUGAAAGCAGGGGAUCUUCGGACCUUGCGCGAUUGAAUGAGCCGAUGUCGGAUUAGCUAGUUGGCGGGGUAAAGGCCCACCAAGGCGACGGUCCGUAGCUGGUCUGAGAGGAUGAUCAGCCACACUGGAACUGAGACACGGCCCAGACUCCUACGGGAGGCAGCAGUGGGGAAUAUUGGACAAUGGGCGCAAGCCUGAUCCAGCCAUACCGCGUGGGUGAAGAAGGCCUUCGGGUUGUAAAGCCCUUUUGUUGGGAAAGAAAAGCAGCAGGUUAAUACCGCGCUGUUCUGACGGUACCCAAAGAAUAAGCACCGGCUAACUUCGUG